RNAcentral lists this long non-coding RNA (436 nucleotides) under Bos mutus (wild yak). RNAcentral describes it as "lncRNA (ENSBMUG00000001251.1)". The record is from RNAcentral. Lineage: Eukaryota; Metazoa; Chordata; Mammalia; Artiodactyla; Bovidae.
AUUUACCUUUCUGAGACUUACUCUGAGAUGACAAGUGCGUAGAAUUUUUUUAAAACUGAGAUACCCCACCCGAACUGAUACGGGUGAACUAGGUGCCAUGUACUUGUGUGUUGUGACACACGAGUGCCUUGACUGUCGCGUCCCUUUUUCAUGAUGAUGAGGCCACAGCGCAUUGCUAACUGCUGUGAAACCAAGCAACAAGUCACUCCCCAGGAACAAAGGUGACGGCCACCAGGCCGCGGAGCCUUGACCUCAUCUCAUUUCCUACGUGCCGUCCACCCCAUAAUCACUGUGCCUCCAGGGAGCGUGCCCGCCAAGCAGCGCGUGCUGUCGGCCUCCUGUUUACAGAGCCUUUCUGGCGUCAGGUAGCUCCAGCUCCUGUAAUCUCUCUGAGGAUAGUGAUAGGGGCUUCCUGCUUGGGCUCACUGCUCCCAAG